GUUUAAGGAAAAGAUGCCUCUAAACUAUAUGUUUAAGCAAUGAAAUUGUUGAGUGAAAUACAGGUUUCUUUGUAUUUCGCACAAACCUUGCCAUACGCCAAUCUUAACCUAUGCAUCUGAACUGCUUUUUUCUUCCAGUCAGAAGGCAGAAACAUGUGAGCUGCUGAGAGAGGGAUGAACCAUCACAAGGCUGCGACAAAGGCUGAAAAGCCUGGGGACCAACAACACACAGAAACGGCUGAUCCAGUUGGGGCUCUAACUGCCGCCAGUGAUUUGAGCUGUAUGAAGCACUGAGAAACAGGCCAAUGUGAGUACAAGACCAAGCAUGCUUUUGGUGCUCCCGUGGAAUAUACCUGAAGUACGAAGUUUCACCCUUCACUUCUGCAGAAAUGGAUUCCCUUUCUCUGCUCACAAGCUGCGCUGUUGGAGCACACAGUUUGCAGGAAAGGUAGGAGAACGUUGAAACAAUUUUCUUUGGGGAGUAGAGGGCAUUUGUAGCUAUCUCCCACAGAAGCUGAUGCUACUGUG
RNAcentral lists this long non-coding RNA (528 nucleotides) under Struthio camelus australis. RNAcentral describes it as "lncRNA (ENSSCUG00000013333.1)". Lineage: Eukaryota; Metazoa; Chordata; Aves; Struthioniformes; Struthionidae. The record is from RNAcentral.